UGUAUUGCUGCUUCUGGAGACUGAAGCCUUCUGUCCACAGAAGAGAGACAUCACAGACUGGAGGAGUCCAAGCUUCCCCAAUCUGCUCUCUCCGUUUGUGCUUCAACCCUGACCUGGAGAUGAGAAGGAAGCUCAUUUUCUUCCUUCUGGUUUCUCUGCCAACAAGGGUGCCAUUUAUGAUGAAGGUCUGUCUGUGUUUGGCUGCAGUAUGUCACACCCACAAGCAGGGAGCGCCUGCUGGCAGAAUAAGAAAGAGAGAUUGGAAUCUCUACCUGAGACAUGGGACUGAAAGCAGUACAUCCAUGCGGGGACAGUACCUGGGACAGCAGGCACAUGCUAAGAGAAGAGCACAUUAUGGUAACACAACUACAUGCUAUUCUCUUCUCAGGAUGGACUGUAAUGUUCCAGUUUAGACAAAUGUACCUGUUGGACAAUCAAAGGAGUUGCUCCAUUCCUAUGGACCCCAAAUCAGA
Chrysemys picta bellii (western painted turtle) is the source of this 473-nucleotide non-coding RNA. The record is from RefSeq and is a predicted model, not a curated record. Lineage: Eukaryota; Metazoa; Chordata; Testudines; Emydidae.